Molecule: long non-coding RNA, 8678 nt
Filed under: Heterocephalus glaber (naked mole-rat)
Lineage: Eukaryota; Metazoa; Chordata; Mammalia; Rodentia; Bathyergidae
Description: lncRNA (ENSHGLG00000038772.1)
Source: RNAcentral
ACCCGCAGUGCCGCCCGCCCGCCUUCCAGGCUCGCGGCGGCCGGGCUCUCACUUCCUCUGCCUCUGCCCGCCUCCCCGGCUCGCCGGCUGGCGUCGCCACCGCCUCCUCGUCCCCGGCCACCGCUGUCGCCUCCGCUGCUGCAAUCCAGGGCGCACGCUCUCGCACUUUCCGCUGGCGGCGCGGAGGAUGCCCCCUGUAGCAGUCGGGGAGAAAUAGCCUCCCGGCCGGGCUGGACCACCCUUGGUGGCGAGGAAGGAAAUCCGGGCUCCGCUUCCCUUGAUGGCACUGCAGCAGCUGGCAGCCGGGACGGCGCCCACGAAACGGGCGCGCCAAGCUGGGCGCGGGAGGCGCAGAGAGGGACCCCGGGAGCAGGCUGAGCUCCGCUGCCGGAGUUCGCAAGUGGCUGGGACUCCGCAGGUGACUCUGUCCAGACCUGGGGCCCUCCAGGGAUGUUGCUGAAGGAUUCUGAAGUCAGGUAGACCUGCAUAGCUGAGUGCCCGGCACUGAGCACAUGGCCUUCCCUAUCAGUAUCAUUCAUUCAUUAAGCAUCGCUGAUGCACAGGCUGUUUGUUCAGCUCUCACUGUGUGCCAUUUUGGCUGCCUGAUGCAUCCCAGCUCGUAUACCUUCCAGUGACCAAGAGGAAGGAUAGCUACCCCCUUGUAGAGGCAGGAAAACUGAGAAUUCAAGAGAGGCUGAAUGGAGCCCCAAGGACAUGAAUUUAAUAAGUUGUCUGAGCCUAGGCACAUCUAACUGAUCCCAAAUCUGUGCUCUUUCAAGUCUCUGCUAUCCUUCUCUCUGAGUGUUGUGGGUUGAAUUAUAGUCCCCAUCCCACCAAAGCAGUCCAUGUUCUAAUUCCUGGAGCCUGUGGACGUGGUACCUUCCACAUGUUAAGAGGGACUUUGUUUAAAUGAAGGACUUUGAGAUGAGAAGGUGAUCCUGGAAUAUCCAAAUGAGUUCUAGGUCACUGACAAGAUCCUUAGUAGAAGGAAGCAGGGAGUCAGAAUCAGUCUGAGGAGAUGUGACCAUGGACACAAGAUGUGGAAUGAUGAGAAGAAGGGAUCAGGAACCAAGGAAUGUAGGCAGCUGUUAGAAGCUGAAAAGGCAAAGAAAUGAAUCUCCCGAAAGCCUGAAGCAGGAAUUAGCAUUGUGGAGCUUUGAUUUGAGACUUUUGACCACCAGAACUAUAAUAAAAUAAUAUUUGUAAGCCACCAAGUUUGUGGUAAUUAUAAUAUACUAUACGGAGAAAAAAAUAGGAAAAGAUGCCAGAAGAAUAAAUGAUUGUCCAGAGAAUGAAUGAGUGACACACAGUGAUAUUAACAAUGGCCCGCUUCAUAUCCUAGAGGCUCACAGUGUUCUCCAGGGCCCAGGACCUAUGUGGGAGAGGUUGGCAUUACCAUUAGAAUCUGUAGUCCUUCAUUUAUUUCAGGUUCCUUCAUAUAGUGCUUCAUUCAUUGUUAAAUCCCCAAAUUUUAUUCAUGUUCAUUGUAGUACUUCAUUUAUGUUCACUUGGUGCUCCAUUUACAUUCAUAUAGUACUUCAUUUAUUGUUAAAUCAUAAAUCUUUUCUGGAAGUGGAGUAAUUGAAAAAAUUUUUUAUUGUGAUGUAGCUUACAGACAGCAAAGUUGAAAAAUCAAUGAAUUUUUAUAAGUGCAUUGAACCAUGGAUACAUCCUUAAUGUGAAGAUAUAAAACAUGAUCAUCCAGGCCGGGGAUUUAGCUCAGUGGUUCCGCUGCCUGCCUUGCAAGGGCAAGGUCCUGAGUUCAAUGCCUGGUACCAGAAAAAAAAAACAUGCUCACCUUUUAUAACAUUCCUUUGCAUCACUUCGAAUACUUAUACCCCCAUCACUGGAGAGUAAUUUGCCUGACCUUGAACUUCAUGUGAAUGGAACCAUGCUUUACCUUUGCUUUGGUGCUUGGCUUCCUUUGCUUGGUGUUUGUGAGAUGUACCUACGCUGUUGCAUGUAUCAGUCCUGCCUUUUCAAAUUGAUUUAUACCCAUGCUCUUUUUGAAUUUUAAUUUAUUUUUUGGUGGUUCUGGGAAUUGAACUCAGGGCCUUUGCACUAAUCUACACCCUUAUCCGUAUAUUCUUUUUUUUUUUGAGGCAGCAUCCCACUAAGUCUCUAAAUUACCCAAGUUGAGGUCCAUCUUGCAGUCCUCCUGCCUCCAGUUCCCAGAGUGAUGGAUUUAACCAUGCCCAGCACCCACUCUCCUUCUUAAGGACAUGUGGCCAGCUUCUCCCUCUUUGAGAUCCUAAUGAAUAGAGCUACUAGGAGCAUUCUGGUUCAAGUCUUGGGGUAGAUAUGUGUUCUCAUUUCUAUCAGAUACACACCUGGGAGUGGAAUUACAGGUUCAUAAGGUAAGUGGAUUUGGCUUUUGUGGACAAGCCCAAUUUUCCAGCCUGGUCCUAAAUCUAGGAAGGUCAUCCUCGCCCACAUCAGUCUUCUUUCCGAAUGACCCAUCUUCCGUCCUGCGCUGCACUACUGACCACAUUUGGGAGACAAGGAGGCCAGGGGGUCCCUCAUAUCUUGGUCCAGGAGAGCCUUCUCUGAGCUGGCGGUUUCUGUAGAGAUGGGAUUUUGGAGAGGGUAGAGAAGGAAGGGGGACACAUUCUUUCUGUGUUUGACCUUCCAUUUCAAAGUUGAUGAGGUAGAAGUUUGGGUUUCAGCUGAAUGUGGGGUGAAGAUACCUUCCAAACCUAAGUCAUCAGCUUACCACUUCCAUGAUUUUCCCCACAUUUGCUUAUUUUUCUUGGAAUUGAUUUACUUUUUUGCUGAAAAUUGCUUAUUGGGGAGGUUAACUUACCUGCAAAUAUGAAAUCAAUAUGCCUUUCCCUAAGUAGGGCUUAAUCACGAUAAACACUCAAAGUCCCAACAAGGAAGAUUGAUCCCAGCCACAUGCCCUUCCUUGCCUGGGGCACUGAUCCCUAGGUCUGUGUCUUGAACACAUUAGCCAGCCUUAGGGAGGUGUUAAAGGUCUAUCAGUCCCAAAUUGAGACACCGCUUGAUGUAAUCAGAGAGACUGAAAGACAUUUAAAAGCAAGUAAUUUUUCGCUUUGAGAUGGGAGAUUAUUUAAUGCUGUAAUCAUCUUUUAUGCCAAGAGGGCAUCUGUACUCUGGGCAACACUGGUGUAUUAAAAAAAUCUUCUGACUGGGUAUCAGAUCUUUUCUUGAAUGAUCUACUAGCUCUGCAAUAUUGGAUCAGUGACCUCACCUUUCUGAGCUUCAACUUCCUGAUUUGUAUAGUGAAAUUGUCAUAGCACCUGUUUCUGAGGCCUAUGAGACAGCCAAGAGAUAAUUGCUUUUGAUGGGUUUGUGAAUGGGUCAUCUGAUGAACCCUGUAUCUAAAGACUGAAGUGGACAUGGGAAUGAACACACAGGACAUUAUGCUUCUGCUAGGGCUCCUCUCCCUAGGCAGAGUCAUCUACCCUCCUGGGGAGUGUUUAUUACUUUGGGAUCCUGCCAAGGUUAAGUGCAGAAAAUGGCCCUGGUUUAUCAUUUGCUCAAAGGCUGGGACAUUUAAUCAGAGCCUCUGGAGGGUAAGCAGGAGGUUCCCAGUACACCUGCUCCUGGGCUGCAGUGAUGAGUUGGAAGAGGCAGAUUCUCUAACAGACCCAUCUGGGUCCUAGCCUUGUUCCAGUGUCUGCCUACUGUGUGUCCGGAGCACACCACUUCUCUUUAGGACUCAGUUUGCUCAUGUGUAAAUGGGAAUAUUCACUCCUACCUCAUUAGAUGGUAAGGAAGAUAGCACGAGAUGAUGCACAAAACACAACAGCAGGGUAUUUAACAGACAAACAUAGCUAUUACCAUUGGGGGGAAGUCAGGGACUGUAUUUAAAUACUCUGAAGAGCUGAAUGCCCCUCUUGAACUCAUGAUCAUCCUAAAUCUUCCUCUCAGAAUGUCUCUCUCCCACUUGCCCCCCAGACUCCAUUCCCUUCUUGCCUGUGCACCCCCCCACAGGCCAGGCCAUGUUUGUUCACAAGCCUGGGUAGGUGUUCUGUGGCAGCUCUGACUCAGGUAAAACUUUUUAGGCUGAAAGUAUCUGAAACACAACUCAAAUGGGCUUUCGAAAAGAGAAUAAUUUGUUUUGCUCACAGACACCAAAAUCCACGUGUCUUGCUUAAGGUGUGACGUGAUCUAGGCUCAGACAAACCCAUUGGAUAUUAGUUUCUCUGCAUUUCUAGCUUCCCCUAGGCUUCAGCUGCCCUAAUGGUAGUAAGAUGACCCCAGGAGCCCAACCUCACCUCUCCCUGAUGUCCAAAUCCGUAAGAAACAGGAAUCUCUCUCUCCCAGCCAAAUUGAUUCUGAUCAGAUUGUCUACCUACUCCUAGAUGAGUGAGGUAGGUGGCCCAUACUGAUUGGCUUAGGCCAAGCAGGACCUCUUUUUGGAACUGAAUAUGGGGUCAACCCUACUGAACCCCAUUGGUUUGAGGAGAUGUUGAUUCUGCAGUGUAUCAGUGUUGGAAGAUGGAGGUAAUGGGGAAAGGAUGUUGGGGCUGUGGUCAACUAAUGUUCCCAUAUCUUUCUCAGCCAAAGCAAUAAGAGAUUUCCCAUUAGAAACCCAGCAGUGCAACAGGAUUGAAAGAGAGUAUGCAUUUCUCUCUCUCAAGUCCAUGCACAUGUAUACACCACACACACACACAAAUACACACACACACCCCCUCAUUCCCAGUGCCAUGUUGCCUGAAAAUAACAAGAUUGAAGGCACAGUGAUGAGUGGGGCCAUAUCACAUGGCACUAAUUUUUUCUGGCAUCUGUAGCAAUUUCAGGCUCCCAGUUGAGGCCUGAUUUGGCUUAGCUGGUUGGAGUGCUAGGCUCCUGAGGUCAAGGAUAGAAAAAGGAGCAGAGCCCUGGGCCUGGAGGCAGAACCCCUGGAUCCUGAGCACACUGUGUCACUGAGCUAGAGCCCUUGGACAAGGCGCUUUCCUCCCUGGGCCACUGUCUCUGUGUUGCUCCCAAAUCCCCACCCUCCUGCCCCAACUCCUCCGUUAGGUCACCCUUCCCAUCUCUGAGGCCUCAGCCUGACUCUCCAUCCCCAAACGGCAUGUGGUACCCCUGCGAGUGCUUCUGCAGCCACAGACUUUAGAGUUUAAAUCCAAGCUUUCUGAUGUACACCCUGAGUGUCUUUGGCCCAGUUUAUUGACCUCAGGCCUCAGUUUCCUCAUCUAUCAAAUGGAAAUAAUGCCACCAGUACCUAUUUUGUGGAUGAUUGCAAUAACUAUGCUGGAUGAUUUCUGUAUGUAUUUAACUCAGGCCUGGGCUCAGUAAAUGCUAGCUGGAAAAUGAUUCUGAGUCCAGGUGAAAUCCCAAGCCAGUGAAAUCAACCUUUCCCUCUCUCACUGUGUAAGAUAUAUGGGGCUAGGGGUUUGUAUCAUUCUCUUCUACACCUCAAUAUCUAGCCUUGUGCCUGGCACGUAGCAGGUACUCAAUAAAAACUGUUGAAUAAAUGUCCCAGUUCAGAGUAUUCUAAGGCAUCCCCAGCUCUGUUCAUAGCAUGGAACUGCAUAAGUAGGUUGGCCGCAGGCCUCGUCAGGAAGAUCAAAUCUGAAAGGCCACUGUGAACUGUAAGGAGGAGGCUUCCUGUGUAGUAGAUUUCAGUGGCACUAAAUUCUCUCCUCUUCUUUGAAAUCCUAUUCUCUGCUCUCUCUAGUUCCACCCACCCAGAGUCUUGGGGAAUACCCAUGCUUCAAUCCAUUCCCACUGCCCGCCUCUGGCUUUAAAGAACUUGUUAGACGUGCAGCAAGUUGGAGCAAGACAUGGCCAGGGGUGGAGGGGGGAAGAAGUCAUGAAAGUGGCUCCUCCACGGUGGAGAAGACAGGUAGCUGAAGAGCACAUUUGUGGUUUGCCCAGAGCUUGGCUUACAGAGACUGUGGACUUGCAGUAUUGGUAGAAUUGCCCUCUGUGGGAGCAGACCUAAGCAUGAUUACUCUCCUUGACAACCUCCCCAAGGGGUGGCCAAGAAGUGGAAGCUGGAGGCUGUACCCGCUCAGUCUCCUUGAGCUGGGAGCCUCCUCAGAACCUACAGCAGGCAGCUUGUUUCUCUUCCCCAAAGGCACUCUUGAAGCUGUGGACUGGCAGCUUUCUCUGGCCAACCAAAAUAUCCCAGGUGUACGUGUGUGUGUGGGAUAUCUGUUUUCCAAAUGGAAGCUGUCUUCCAGCCUUGCCUUUAUUUGUGUGUGUUAUUGGUUUGACUCAAUACAGUUUAUUGCUAAGUCAAGCUCCUCUGUACACAACAUUAUGCUUUGUACUCUCUAUACACACUGGGAGGUAGAAAAUAAGGAUGACAAUGAUAAUAACAUCAAUGAUGAUGGCAAAGGCAGUGCCCAGGCAUCAUGAUGAGAAUGAUGUCAAUGUCAGUGAUGAUGAUUUUGCUGAUGAUGACAUGUUGAUAAUAUAACAAAAAUCUACUGCCCUGCCAUCUUCAAAGUGCUUUAUUUAUUUAAUCCUCACAACCACCCAUUGAGAAAGGAACCCCGGUUAUUAAAUCCAUCACUUGCCAGUUAUGUGAUGCUGGGCAGUUGCUUUGUUUCACAGAGCCUCGACAUUCCUAUCUAUAAAUUGGGGAUAAAAGUAGCCAUUCUGGGUAACAUGCUUACCUGAUGUCUGAUGUGAUACUUAUAGCUCUAGCUUUGACCCUCCUGCCAACCCGUGGAAAAGACCUUGAUUUUACAAAAUAGCAGGCAAGUGUUCCCAGCUGGGAAUGGCUGAGUUGGGGUUCAAAGGCAGCCAAGGACUCACAGUCCUAUUGCCUUGCAGCACUUGUUGUGGGCAUCUCUGCAGAGAUAUUUCUGACCCACAUGAUCCACGUGGGCUACAGAGCCAGCUGGCCUGGGUCAGCCUCCAGCAAAGCCCUUGACCGAAGUAGCCUGGAGCCACCCUCAGCCAGGGCUUGGCUAUGGUGGCAGAAGGCUGGUGCUCUUGGGCUGGUGAACUGGUCACCUGAAACCUGGAAGAGUCUGGGAGGCAGAGACACAAGUCAAAGCCAAAGAAUCACAGCCAUAGUGUUUCUUAUUUUGGAGUCAAAAGAAUCUAGAUAUCUUUUUCCAGCCCUGCAAAUCUACAAAUAGGAGCCCUUGCUUACCAUGCACAAAAUUUGAUCCCCAGCACUGGAAAAAAAAAAUCCACAAGCAAGCAUCCAUAUCUCUAGGACCAAUCUAUCCGCUCUGGUGGCCAAUGGCCAUGUGUGGCAGCUGUGCACCUGAAAUGUGGCCAGGCUGAAUUGAAGUGUGCUGUAAGUGUGACAUACACACCAGAUUUUAAAGUCUUGGUAAGAAAAGGAAUUCAAACUUGUGAUUCUGCUAUCUCAGCCUCCCAGAGUGCUGGGCUUACAGAUGUGUGCCCCUGCGCCUGUCUACUUCUGCUGCUUUAAGCCACUUAAUUUGUAGUUUACUGUAGUUUGUUAUGGCAUCCCGGGACACUAAUUCACAAGGUGCUAUGGUCUGAAUACUAAUGCACCCUAAAGUUCACAUGCUCAUGUCCUCAUGCCCAGUGUGAUGGCAUUUGCAGCUAGGGGCAUUGGAAGGGAGGUGGUCAUGGAGGCAGACGUGCUCUGCAUGGGAUUCAUGUGCUGGCGAAAAGGGACAGGAAAGAGCUUGGUCCAUUUCCCAGGUGGAGCAGUGAGAAGAUAUCCUUCUGCAAGCUAAGAACCAGCACCUCACCAGUUAUAAGAUCUGGCGGCACUUUGACCGUGGACUUCACAGAUCUUUGACUUGUAAGGAAGAAGCGUUUGUUGUCUGUUGUAUUUGUUACAGAAGCUGAGUGGCUGUGACACCAGGCAUGGUGCUCUUGCUGUUGUCGCCUCACUGUAGGAAUCCCAGCUUAUCCCGGGGAGCUUGGAGAUGUGCCCUUCUCCUGUCCCCAGCCCAGACAUCCCAGCAGCUGGUAGCAGCUGCUGAGUGUCUAAGUAGCCCUCAGAACCUGAGCCGUGCACAAGGUACUGUGGUCAGCAGCCCAAUCCCUUCUGUCCAUGCAGUGUGAGUUCCUGCAAAUGACUGUUUUCAGGAGAAAAGCAGCUCCAGAGAGCUCUCAGCCACUCUGCAGGAGACACAGAUGCUCUUGAGUUAAUGAGAAGCAGAACCUCCUAUGGCUCAUGGCUGGGGGCCCCUGUGCCCCUGUCCUGGUUCUGUCCCUGGUCAGGGCUGGGCAGGUCAAUGUUGCCUUUCCAUAGUGAGAGGCUGUGGGCAGCCACUGAUCAGAGGCCAGGCCAAAGGCCCUGGGGGUGCAGGGUGGAUGAUCUAGAGGUUGAGUGAAGACACAUCCAGGGAUGCUGAAUUCAGUUAUGCAGUCUACAAAGAUCUGGCAUCCUUUGGACUCCUUGAGUGAAGGCCUGAGUGAGCUCUUGUCUCCUGGUGUCCUGUCACUGCAGCACACACAGGGGAUCUUUAUUUGGUCCCAGUGGAGGAGGGCAGGAGACCAAAGAAGACCAGCUCAGGGGUCAGAGUGUGUGUGUGUGUGUGUGUGUGUGUGUGUGUGUGUGUGUGUGUGUGUGUAUCGGGGCUGUCUGCAACUUGAACACCCUUGCCUUGCUGAGGGAUUCAGCAUAAACUCACUCUAGCUCUGGUUUCCAGGUUAGCUUGGGCUAUUCUCCUCAACACUUCUCAUGAGUCUUCACCCAGCUUUCACUUAUUUAUUUUUUAAAUAUUUAUUUACUUAUUUGCCAUCCUGGGAGUUGAACCAAGGGC